This 497-nucleotide ribosomal RNA is filed under the name uncultured bacterium. Its description in RNAcentral is "partial 16S ribosomal RNA". It matches the Rfam family "Bacterial small subunit ribosomal RNA", at positions 28 to 507 of the family's 1533-position model. The record is from RNAcentral.
GAUGAACGCUGGCGGCGUGCCUAAUACAUGCAAGUCGAGCGAACAGACGAGGAGCUUGCUCCUCUGACGUUAGCGGCGGACGGGUGAGUAACACGUGGAUAACCUACCUAUAAGACUGGGAUAACUUCGGGAAACCGGAGCUAAUACAGGAUAAUAUAUUGAACCGCAUGGUUCAUUAGUGAAAGAGGGUUUUGCUGUCACUUAUAGAUGGAUCCGCGCCGCAUUAGCUAGUUGGUAAGGUAACGGCUUACCAAGGCAACGAUGCGUAGCCGACCUGAGAGGGUGAUCGGCCACACUGGAACUGAGACACGGUCCAGACUCCUACGGGAGGCAGCAGUAGGGAAUCUUCCGCAAUGGGCGAAAGCCUGACGGAGCAACGCCGCGUGAGUGAUGAAGGUCUUCGGAUCGUAAAACUCUGUUAUUAGGGAAGAACAAAUGUGUAAGUAACUAUGCACGUCUUGACGGUACCUAAUCAGAAAGCCACGGCUAACUACGUG